CAGUGUGUUAAAAUAAGAAGCGGGUGCAGUCUCCACUUCCUGGAGCGUUUGCUUUUGUUCUUUCUUGGUUUUAGUCUAAAAUAAGUCAUUCCGAAUGAAAGCCUAUUUUUGUUCUUUGUGGGUGGAAGAAACUUACCUCCCUCGGUUCUCAUACUGUGCACAUCACCAUGAUAUAUGCACACACAGUGUUAGUAUCUGGGAGAUACCAGAUAAAAAUUUCAGUUACGUUGAUCUGCUAGUCACGUGCUAGAAGCAGGAAUAAAAGUUCCUCUUCAAAAUAUGGAGAGGUUUUUUUUACAGCAUUGUGCUUUCCACCCCUCAGCAUUUUGUAAAUGAAGGAAACGUCUGAAGGGAUCACUUGAGCAUGAAGAAAGACACCCUGACUGUAGGAUGGAGAUUUUGGAGGCAUGGGCUCGAAACACAAGCACUUUGGAGGAGGAUUCUCAAAAAGGGGUCCAGCAGGGUUCUCCUGGACCAGCAGCGGAUGGUUUGUUCUGCAGGGCGGAAGCUGUCUCUUACUUUAUGCCGUACCUCAUCAGUGCUCUGCACUGCCUCUGAACAUGCCGUAAGAGGAGUGGCACGUUUUCCUGGAGUGAGGAAGUGCUUAAAAUCUGAGUCUGGAAAGGCUGCCGGGAAGCAGGUCCUAACUGAAAAGAACAGAUUUAUCUGCAUGAGGAUGUCGUGGCCUUGCCCAUCUGAGUCAGGAUGCGGCCAUCGCAGUGUGAGCUGCAGAGCCUGA
Long non-coding RNA from Numida meleagris (helmeted guineafowl), 739 nucleotides. The record is from Ensembl. NCBI's taxonomy places the organism in Eukaryota, Metazoa, Chordata, Aves, Galliformes, Numididae.